RNAcentral lists this long non-coding RNA (280 nucleotides) under Mustela putorius furo (domestic ferret). RNAcentral's name for it is "lncRNA (ENSMPUG00000029613.1)". Lineage: Eukaryota; Metazoa; Chordata; Mammalia; Carnivora; Mustelidae. The record is from RNAcentral.
GAACAGUUCACGAUCUCAUGGAAAAACCCAAUGAGACCACUGUUAUCUUCACAUUUAUUCAUUCAACAAAUACCUCUAAGACCCAACUCUAUGCCAGGAAUAAUUCUAGGCUCCGAAGAUACAGAAGAGAACAAAACAAAAUUCCUGCUCUCCUGGAGCUUGUAUCCUGGUGGAUGUGAAGGGGAAACAGACCAUAAAUGCACAAGUAUGUAAAACAUCAGGUGAGUGUAGGUAAGUGUAGAGGGAGAAAAGCAGGGUAAAGGAGAAGGGCGUGCUGAGU